RNAcentral lists this unclassified non-coding RNA (2369 nucleotides) under Hevea brasiliensis (rubber tree). The record is from RNAcentral. Lineage: Eukaryota; Viridiplantae; Streptophyta; Magnoliopsida; Malpighiales; Euphorbiaceae.
AUGCAACCAGUGGCUGAUAAGCUGGUGAAUGCCAGAAUCAAUUACAGCCACAUAAGCUUUAGCCAGUUGCCAAAUGGAACCUUCAACGCCAUCUUCAGCUGGUGUGAAUACUUUGCUAAUGGGUCCGAGUUGAUCUCUCUCUGGAUGAGGCAGGCUUAAUUCAAUUGCAAGAGGCUUCAGAGUACCAUCACCUUUCAAGAAAAGUAAGGUCCUAGUUGCAUAUGUCUUUGUGGAAGUAGCAUUUAUACGCCUUAGGUAUGGCAUCACUGUGUCAUGGUGAUCUAAUAUGUAUAGCUUGUUGUUCUUGAUUGCCUUAACCACCAUUAAUGCAACAAAUGUUUUAGUUAUUGGUUUAUGGUGGUUGAUUAAAUUCAACUAAUCCCAACCAAGAACAUCCAUUGAUUUUGAUUGUAAACUCAAUUGUCAAAGAAACAAAUAGAGGAAAAUUACCUCAUCUAUGGUCAAUCCGUCUAGGCUAUUAUUUAUGUGUUCUUCAGUUAUUUGACUGUUUUGAUCACCAUAAAGUUUGCCGUCUAGCUUGCUUUUUGGAGGGAAUUCCUUGAGACAACGAAUGAUGACAGGGUUUACACCAGCCAGCAUUUCUCUGCCAAAUUCUUCAUCAGUCCUCCAUGCCGUCUUACUCUCUUUAAUUACUUGAGGCACUGGAAAUUUGAAAAGCCUCUCUCCAUCUGUUCGGAAAAUUUCCUUAAGCAUCUCCAGUGGAAUGUUUUUCCUUAUAUUAUCCAGUAAGGGGCCAUCAGGGAGCUCAAUCCCUCCCUCAUAGAGCUUUAAUACAUCGUCAAUAGAGUCAAAUUCAUUUGGGGUGCUGUCAAAUAGGGCUUCUAGUUCAGGUUUAAUAAAUUGAGCUAUAGAUUUCAGUGCAUAAGCAAGGAAGUCAGCCAUCUUCAGGUGACCAAAUCGUUCAUCUCUUGGAACAUAUAUGUUCAAGCUCAUCAGAAGCGGCAGCCUGCUUUCAUAGUUGAGAUCUGAUUUUGCUGGUGCUCUGCCAGUUCUUCCCCUGCGAGGAUAAGGGUACUCUGCAGAUCCUCCAAGAAUUGGGCGGACAUACUUUGGGCCCUUAUCAGGCUCUCCCAAAUCAUUAUAGAAAGCAUAAUCAUAGACACGAUCCCAUUCCUGAAGUUCUCCUUUUCCAUCUCCUCUCAAGUUCUCGAGUUCUUCCUCCCUGUAUUUGCGCAGUGGCAUUGGUGUCUCUUGUGGCAGAUACGUCUUGUUUGCAAAGAAAAUACGAUCUUUCUUGUAUCGUUCGGCAGGGUAAACCCAUGAGUUGCAGACAAAAUGGAUUCGACCUUGGCCAGGAACAUCUUCAAGGGUAAGAGUUUUCAGGUAAAAUUCACUGUGAUGAUUGUUUUUUAUGAUGAAUGCCCCUGGAACUCCAAUCUCAUCAUCCCAAUCAAAGGUAACUUUGAAUGCUGAGUCUCCUGGUGUUAAGGGAGCAAUUGUAGUAAUCCAGUCUUCCAAAUAUGCAGGCUCUCCUACUUUCCCCUGCAGACCAUUCUCUGCAGUCUCACUGCAGUUAACAGCACUAAUGAGUUGCAGAGAGACUCCUUGGCCAAGCAACUCAUGAACACGAUCAAGAACAGAAGCAUGGAAGUCAUUGAAGUCCAAAACAUUCUUUUUCAUCAAAACAACAGUACCUUUGAUCUUCUUGCACUCACCACUCAAACACUUUUUCUUAUUGCCAUUAUUGUCACCAGUAAUGGCAUCCACUAUGUUCUGAAACAUAUCCCUUGCUUCAGCAGCUAAACAAAGGAUCUAAUAGCAGUGGAGAGGUGUGUAUUAAAGGAAGUUUAAUUGGGUUUUUUGAUAGAUGUGGCACAAGGUUAUGGCUUGGUAUUUAUAGAGAGAAAAAUAAGAUUAUGCUACUACCAGCAACUUGUGGUCCUGACUAAGAAGCUUCACCUGUUCUUAUUGGAUAGUUUUUUUCUUUUAGAAAAUAAGAGUUUUUGUGAAGAUAGAAUACAAAUCUAGAGUAUUCAUAUCACUGUAUUUUACAAAGAAAAUUGAAGGUAAACUACCUGUAUAAAAAAUAUUAAUAAUUAUCUUAUUUAGAUUGAGUCUAUUAUAGACUCAAAAUAUAAGAUGCAUGAUAAGAUUCAUAUAUUUAAUAUAUAAGUCUUAACAUGUAUUUUAUAUCUUAGAUUUAUGAUGGACCCGAUCUAAGUAAGAAAAAUCUAAAUAGAAUAUUUGUGUUGUCUUAUGUUCCACUCGACUAAUACUAUUUGACUGCAAUGUCUUUUUGCAUCAAAUUUUGAUCAUUUAUCAAAGAAAAAAAUCUAUACCUCUUGUAAUCUUAUCAAAAUAUCAAAGCACAACACUUAAUAACUCUGCAAUAUGAAUAGAUAAUAAAG